GACUAAGCGUACACGGUGGAUGCCCUGGCAGUCAGAGGCGAUGAAGGGCGUGCUAAUCUGCGAUAAGCGCCGGUAAGGUGAUAUGAACCGUUAUAACCGGCGAUACCCGAAUGGGGAAACCCAGUGUGACUCGUCACACUAUCAUUAACUGAAUCCAUAGGUUAAUGAGGCGAACCGGGGGAACUGAAACAUCUAAGUACCCCGAGGAAAAGAAAUCAACCGAGAUUCCCCCAGUAGCGGCGAGCGAACGGGGAGGAGCCCAGAGCCUGAAUCAGCAUGUGUGUUAGUGGAAGCGUCUGGAAAGGCGCGCGAUACAGGGUGACAGCCCCGUACACAAAAGCGCAUGUGCUGUGAGCUCGAUGAGUAGGGCGGGACACGUGGUAUCCUGUCUGAAUAUGGGGGGACCAUCCUCCAAGGCUAAAUACUCCUGACUGACCGAUAGUGAACCAGUACCGUGAGGGAAAGGCGAAAAGAACCCCGGCGAGGGGAGUGAAAAAGAACCUGAAACCGUGUACGUACAAGCAGUGGGAGCACCCUUUGGGUGUGACUGCGUACCUUUUGUAUAAUGGGUCAGCGACUUAUAUUCUGUAGCAAGGUUAACCGAAUAGGGGAGCCGGAGGGAAACCGAGUCUUAACCGGGCGUUAAGUUGCAGGGUAUAGACCCGAAACCCGGUGAUCUAGCCAUGGGCAGGUUGAAGGUUGGGUAACACUAACUGGAGGACCGAACCGACUAAUGUUGAAAAAUUAGCGGAUGACCUGUGGCUGGGGGUGAAAGGCCAAUCAAACCGGGAGAUAGCUGGUUCUCCCCGAAAGCUAUUUAGGUAGCGCCUCGUGAAUUCAUCUCCGGGGGUAGAGCACUGUUUCGGCUAGGGGGCCAUCCCGGCUUACCAACCCGAUGCAAACUGCGAAUACCGGAGAAUGUUAUCACGGGAGACACACGGCGGGUGCUAACGUCCGUCGUGAAGAGGGAAACAACCCAGACCGCCAGCUAAGGUCCCAAAGUCAUGGUUAAGUGGGAAACGAUGUGGGAAGGCCCAGACAGCCAGGAUGUUGGCUUAGAAGCAGCCAUCAUUUAAAGAAAGCGUAAUAGCUCACUGGUCGAGUCGGCCUGCGCGGAAGAUGUAACGGGGCUAAACCAUGCACCGAAGCUGCGGCAGCGACACUGUGUGUUGUUGGGUAGGGGAGCGUUCUGUAAGCCUGUGAAGGUGUGUCGUGAGGCAUGCUGGAGGUAUCAGAAGUGCGAAUGCUGACAUAAGUAACGAUAAAGCGGGUGAAAAGCCCGCUCGCCGGAAGACCAAGGGUUCCUGUCCAACGUUAAUCGGGGCAGGGUGAGUCGACCCCUAAGGCGAGGCCGAAAGGCGUAGUCGAUGGGAAACGGGUUAAUAUUCCCGUACUUGGUGUUACUGCGAAGGGGGGACGGAGAAGGCUAUGUUGGCCGGGCGACGGUUGUCCCGGUUUAAGCGUGUAGGUGUGUGUUCCAGGUAAAUCCGGUUCACUUUAACACUGAGGCGUGACGACGAGGCACUACGGUGCUGAAGCAACAAAUGCCCUGCUUCCAGGAAAAGCCUCUAAGCAUCAGGUAACAUCAAAUCGUACCCCAAACCGACACAGGUGGUCAGGUAGAGAAUACCAAGGCGCUUGAGAGAACUCGGGUGAAGGAACUAGGCAAAAUGGUGCCGUAACUUCGGGAGAAGGCACGCUGACACGUAGGUGAAGUGAUUUACUCAUGGAGCUGAAGUCAGUCGAAGAUACCAGCUGGCUGCAACUGUUUAUUAAAAACACAGCACUGUGCAAACACGAAAGUGGACGUAUACGGUGUGACGCCUGCCCGGUGCCGGAAGGUUAAUUGAUGGGGUCAGCGCAAGCGAAGCUCCUGAUCGAAGCCCCGGUAAACGGCGGCCGUAACUAUAACGGUCCUAAGGUAGCGAAAUUCCUUGUCGGGUAAGUUCCGACCUGCACGAAUGGCGUAAUGAUGGCCAGGCUGUCUCCACCCGAGACUCAGUGAAAUUGAACUCGCUGUGAAGAUGCAGUGUACCCGCGGCAAGACGGAAAGACCCCGUGAACCUUUACUAUAGCUUGACACUGAACAUUGAGCCUUGAUGUGUAGGAUAGGUGGGAGGCUUUGAAGUGUGGACGCCAGUCUGCAUGGAGCCGACCUUGAAAUACCACCCUUUAAUGUUUGAUGUUCUAACGUGGACCCGUUACCCGGGUUGCGGACAGUGUCUGGUGGGUAGUUUGACUGGGGCGGUCUCCUCCUAAAGAGUAACGGAGGAGCACGAAGGUUGGCUAAUCCUGGUCGGACAUCAGGAGGUUAGUGCAAUGGCAUAAGCCAGCUUGACUGCGAGCGUGACGGCGCGAGCAGGUGCGAAAGCAGGUCAUAGUGAUCCGGUGGUUCUGAAUGGAAGGGCCAUCGCUCAACGGAUAAAAGGUACUCCGGGGAUAACAGGCUGAUACCGCCCAAGAGUUCAUAUCGACGGCGGUGUUUGGCACCUCGAUGUCGGCUCAUCACAUCCUGGGGCUGAAGUAGGUCCCAAGGGUAUGGCUGUUCGCCAUUUAAAGUGGUACGCGAGCUGGGUUUAGAACGUCGUGAGACAGUUCGGUCCCUAUCUGCCGUGGGCGCUGGAGAACUGAGGGGGGCUGCUCCUAGUACGAGAGGACCGGAGUGGACGCAUCACUGGUGUUCGGGUUGUCAUGCCAAUGGCACUGCCCGGUAGCUAAAUGCGGAAGAGAUAAGUGCUGAAAGCAUCUAAGCACGAAACUUGCCCCGA
This 2768-nucleotide ribosomal RNA is filed under the name Salmonella enterica subsp. enterica serovar Enteritidis. RNAcentral's name for it is "partial 23S ribosomal RNA". It matches the Rfam family "Bacterial large subunit ribosomal RNA". Lineage: Bacteria; Pseudomonadati; Pseudomonadota; Gammaproteobacteria; Enterobacterales; Enterobacteriaceae. The record is from RNAcentral.